This 422-nucleotide ribosomal RNA is filed under the name uncultured bacterium. Its description in RNAcentral is "bacterial SSU rRNA". It matches the Rfam family "Bacterial small subunit ribosomal RNA", at positions 358 to 773 of the family's 1533-position model. The record is from RNAcentral.
GGAAUUGUUCGCAAUGGGCGCAAGCCUGACGACGCAGCGCCGCGUGGAGGCUGAAGGUCUUCGGAUUGUAAACCCCUGUUGCCCGGGACGAAUGGCUCCGACCUAACACGUCGGAGUGUGACGGUACCGGGUGAGGACGCACCGGCUAACUCUGUGCCAGCAGCCGCGGUAAUACAGAGGGGGCAAGCGUUGUUCGGAAUUACUGGGCGUAAAGGGCGCGUAGGCGGCCUUCGAAGUCGAACGUGAAAUCCCCGGGCUCAACCCGGGAACUGCGUCCGAUACUGGAAGGCUUGAAUCCGGGAGAGGGAUGCGGAAUUCCAGGUGUAGCGGUGAAAUGCGUAGAUAUCUGGAGGAACACCGGUGGCGAAGGCGGCAUCCUGGACCGGUAUUGACGCUGAUGCGCGAAAGCCAGGGGAGCAAAC